Small nucleolar RNA from Marmota marmota marmota (Alpine marmot), 103 nucleotides. NCBI's taxonomy places the organism in Eukaryota, Metazoa, Chordata, Mammalia, Rodentia, Sciuridae. The record is from Ensembl.
UUUCAAACUGGAUAACUACCCCCGCAUGAUGUGGCAGAAGCUAAAGGAACCCGGUUUGCUAAAAUAAAUGUGGUGAGGCUGCCCAUUCUAUACUAGUACAGUA